This is a long non-coding RNA of Homo sapiens (human), 913 nucleotides long. Ensembl annotates it as long intergenic non-protein coding RNA 297. The record is from Ensembl. NCBI's taxonomy places the organism in Eukaryota, Metazoa, Chordata, Mammalia, Primates, Hominidae.
GUUUAGGGCCUCCUUCAGGAGACAGAUGACUCUGACCGGGGAUCAGGGUCAGGGCUGGCAUCUCUGCUCUGGCUAAAAUUCAAAUUUUACAUGUAUCUCUAUGAGGUGGGCAUUUUGCUGUCAAAGGUUUUAUGGAUGGUUCUAGAUGUGGAAACAGAUUAUUAAAAGGAAAAGCAAAGCCUUGCUUGGCAGAGCUUACACUUCUCAAGCAUUGACCUGAGCCUUAAAUUUUGCAACUGUAAUUUUAGAGGAUGCAGGACACACAUCCUGUUUUGGAGGCUGUUUUGGAGGAGCAGGAAGACAAAAAAAGAGAUGCUGUGGACUCAGUUCUCAAAGGCAAGUGGUGGCAGAACACCAGGAAGAAAUCAGUUAGCGGGGAAAAACCACAUGGCUUAGAGUCUAGUGAACAACAGCUUAAAGGGGAAUACAGGUAGAAAACAGAAGACAGUUCCAAAAGGGAGACUUAAUUUUUAUUUCCAUGAAAGCUGAGCAUCAGAAGAGACCUAUUUUUUGGGUCAGAGACGUUUAACUGGGAGCUCUGUCAGACCUGGGACUAGAAUCGAGAGCCCAGCAGAAACACUGCUCUGGUAUUCAGGAAGAAUAGCUUGGCUUGGAAUGGGAAGAAGAGUGGGACUCAAGAAUACAGACUUUGCAGGAGUCCAGCAGAAAUCAGUUGGUAAAAACAGACCUGACUCGUGAGGCUGGACAGAGUCCUCCACGCCUUGGGAUCUGAGUCACUGGAACCAAACUAGACUCUAUUUUACUUCCUAUAACCACCUGCCUGGACAGAUUGCACCCUUGUCAGUUACCAUCAGGGGAGAGUUGUUUUCUUCACCACGGUCACAAAGACUGGCCUUCAUGUGUGUGCUAUCAUGGUGAUGACUUCCCAGGGAGGAAAGUACAGGGAGGAUGA